GGUGAGGGGCAGCUAGUGAGGUAGGGUGCUAUGUUUUUGUGUUCGUGAACACAAAGAGAGAGUUUGAGUAACUUUGUUGAGGGGGCUGUAAGCAGAGGUCAGCUGAUGACCGGGCUAUACCACUGAUGGUUCACGGGUUUGGUCACUAUGACAAAACUGAAAUAAAAUAAGAUGAAAUCAAACAAAAAAAA
Long non-coding RNA from Sinocyclocheilus rhinocerous, 191 nucleotides. RefSeq lists it as uncharacterized. NCBI's taxonomy places the organism in Eukaryota, Metazoa, Chordata, Actinopteri, Cypriniformes, Cyprinidae. The record is from RefSeq and is a predicted model, not a curated record. The transcript has 2 exons.